This 358-nucleotide long non-coding RNA is filed under the name Lactuca sativa (garden lettuce). Its description in RNAcentral is "long non-coding RNA (LSAT_LNC007927)". The record is from RNAcentral. Lineage: Eukaryota; Viridiplantae; Streptophyta; Magnoliopsida; Asterales; Asteraceae.
GAUUAACUACUAGUUGAGGAUGAAGUUUUGCUUUAACUUAUGGAAUUUUUCAUACACCUUUUUUAUCUAGAUAAAUUGCUUUUCCAGUUCUCAUGCAUUUACAUGUUUGGACUUUUUAUUAUUGCAAAUUGACAUGGAUGAUUUUGAAUAUAUGGUAAACAAAAGAAUACAGCUUAAUGGAUACUUUAAGGGCGUGUUUGACAAAAAACUUCGUUUGACAUUUUAGUUUUAACAGCUAUUUUUGCCAAACACGGCCUAAAUCUAACAAACUUGUAAAUAAACUAAGCAGGGUUAUGAACAGCAUAUGUAAAAAUCCCUUCACUUCAAAUCUAUUUAUGGUAUCCAUGAGAUAAAUCUA